Molecule: long non-coding RNA, 519 nt
Filed under: Olea europaea (common olive)
Lineage: Eukaryota; Viridiplantae; Streptophyta; Magnoliopsida; Lamiales; Oleaceae
Description: long non-coding RNA (OEUR_LNC012800)
Source: RNAcentral
UCCCAUCUUUUUCUUUACCAUGCCCCGUCUCUUUCUUCGUAUCUCUCUUCGCUGCACGACUCUUUCUUCGCCACAUCAGUGAUUUUGGUGAUCAUCGUUGGACUUGGGUUUAUAGAUCAGUGGUUUUGCUGCAACAGUGUUGGAUUUGGAUUUUGUGGCGUGGUUGAGAAGAUUGUGGUGUUUGUGGGAUUGGUUUCGAAUUUGUGUUUAAAGAUGGUUUUGGUAUCGGAUUUGGCGACGAAGGAGAUGCAAUCAGCACAGCUUUAGCUAGUGGCAUUAGCUUCGGUCGUGGUGGCGAUCAUUCAGUUUUGGUUUGUUGGGUUGUGUCUGUGUUGGUGGUAGUGCAAUUGUGUUAUGUUGUUAAGCCGUGUUGGUGAUGGUGGUGCGAUGAUUGUGUAGGCAGUGCUUUUGUUAAUGGUUGGACGGUGACUUUGUUGAUGUUUUGUGCGGUGAUUUUGGACAGGGGUUGGUAUGCUCGUGAUCUGGUGUGUUGGGUGGCGGUGUUGGAUCUUGAUUGUG